Molecule: long non-coding RNA, 1492 nt
Organism: Morus notabilis
Lineage: Eukaryota; Viridiplantae; Streptophyta; Magnoliopsida; Rosales; Moraceae
Exons: 7
Source: RefSeq, a predicted model, not a curated record
GAUGAGACUCCCGACACAUUGUCAGUCAAGUAGUAUACGCUAUAACACGUACUCAUAAUAUGUGUCACUUAUCGAACUCUCUAUAAUCAAAUUUCGGUAAUUUUAUUUUCGUAUAGUUCCGGAGCCAACAUCUCGACGUCGGUCUGGCCGAAGGGUCGCUAUAGGUCGGGAUAUAGUAGAGAAAGUACAGAAAGAUGGGAAGCUUCUUGUUACAUUUGACGAGACAAGUUCGUGAAAGGCGAUUGGUAAAAAGCCAAAUAUUUUAACAGUGCUGUCAGAUUGCAUACAAGAGAUAUGUGACCCAUAUUACAACGCCUAGAAGGACGUGCUUGAAGAGUACAAAAGGAGGAUUCAAAAUCGCAUGCUGAUUGGUUUAACCUCGACUACGACCGCAACAACAGCAUCAUUAGAGAUGUAGUCGACCGUGAAGCUAAUAAAUGUUACAAUGACUGGAAGACUACCUUGCACAGACACUUUCAGGAGAUGAGAGGGGCAGAAAAUGAGGAUUUUGUCAGGCAAAAUCCUCUUAAAAACUUGAGGAGCAAAGAGCAAUGGGGACCUUACUGUGAUCAUUUUACGUCCCUUACUUUUCAGAAAAAAUAUGCUACAAAUCAAUAAAACCGUGGCAAUCAGAAGUGGACUAGCUUCCAUGGUAGAAAGUCAUACUCCCAACACCGUUUCGAUAAGGAUUGGUUUAACCUCGACUACGACCGCAACAACGGCAUCAUUAGAGAUGUAGUCGACCGUGAAGCCAAUAAAUGUUACAAGGUCUGGAAGACUACCUUGCACAGACACUUUCAGAAGAUGGGAGGGGCAGAAAAUGAGGAUUUUGUCAGGCAAAAUCCUCCUAAAAACUUGAGGAGCAAAGAGCAAUGGGGACCUUGUUGUGAUCAUUUUACGUUCCCUACUUUUCAGAAAAAAUAUGCUACAAAUCAACAAAACCGUGGCAGUCAGAAGUGGACUAGCUUCCAUGGUAGAAAGUCAUACUCCCAACACCGUUUCGAUAAGGAGCCAAGAUCAUUAAUUGACAAUUGGGGUGACAUGCACCGUCAUGGGCAGAAUUUUAUCAAUCCGGAUGCGGAACAUGCAUUUAUAAGCUUAGAUGGAUAGAGAAAGAACCACGUAGAUCACACAGUCUGCUGGCGAAGGUUCAUCCAUGCCGAUCAAUGAGGAGGGGAUUAUGUCCCAAUUCUUGUGCAAGCGCAAAGGACACACUAAGGGAGUGGGACCGAUACUACCACGAAGGAAUCGUUCAAGUGCUUCCACCUCAUCAUCUGCUUUGCAAUCGGACGGGUCAUCUUCGGUUAAUUUGCCCUAACAUGUCCAAAACUGGCUGAACAAACUCUACAUCAACCAAUGCAACAUGUUCGACCACCAGCAGAUCAUGAUGGAAGUCAUGCGCUCGAUAAAUCAUAACAUCAACUUCUUGCCAGUUACCCGUCCCCAACCAUUUGUUCCUCCGCCGCCUGAGCAAAACGAAGAAGACGAGGAU